RNAcentral lists this ribosomal RNA (253 nucleotides) under uncultured bacterium. RNAcentral describes it as "partial 16S ribosomal RNA". It matches the Rfam family "Bacterial small subunit ribosomal RNA", at positions 524 to 776 of the family's 1533-position model. The record is from RNAcentral.
UACGAAGGGGGCUAGCGUUGUUCGGAAUUACUGGGCGUAAAGCGCGCGCAGGCGGCUAUCCAAGUCAGUGGUGAAAGCCCGGAGCUCAACUCCGGAACUGCCAUUGAAACUGUUUAGCUUGAGGAUGAGAGAGGUGAGUGGAAUUCCCAGUGUAGAGGUGAAAUUCGUAGAUAUUGGGAAGAACACCGGUGGCGAAGGCGGCUCACUGGACACAUAUUGACGCUGAGGUGCGAAAGCGUGGGGAGCAAACAGG